Molecule: ribosomal RNA, 434 nt
Filed under: uncultured bacterium
Lineage: Bacteria
Description: partial 16S ribosomal RNA
Rfam family: Bacterial small subunit ribosomal RNA
Source: RNAcentral
AGCGAACGCUGGCGGCAGGCCUAACACAUGCAAGUCGAACGAACCUUUCGGGGUUAGUGGCGGACGGGUGAGUAACACGUGGGUACGUGCCUUUAGGUUCGGAAUAACUCAGGGAAACUUGUGCUAAUACCGAAUGUGCCCUUCGGGGGAAAGAUUAAUCGCCUUUAGAGCGGCCCGCGUCUGAUUAGCUAGUUGGUUGAGGUAAUGGCUCACCAAGGCGACGAUCAGUAGCUGGUCUGAGAGGAUGAUCAGCCACAUUGGGACUGAGACACGGCCCAAACUCCUACGGGAAGCAGCAGUGGGGAAUCUUGCGCAAUGGGCGAAAGCCUGACGCAGCCAUGCCGCGUGAAUGAUGAAGGUCUUAGGAUUGUAAAAUUCUUUCACCGGGGACGAUAAUGACGGUACCCGGAGAAGAAGCCCCGGCUAACUUCGUG